GAGGGUAUAGCUCAGUGGUAGAGUGUGUGCUUAGUGUGCACAAGGUCCUGGGUUCAAUCCCCAGUACGUUCA
RNAcentral lists this transfer RNA (72 nucleotides) under Camelus bactrianus (Bactrian camel). It matches the Rfam family "tRNA". Rfam says of the family: Transfer RNA (tRNA) molecules are approximately 80 nucleotides in length. Their secondary structure includes four short double-helical elements and three loops (D, anti-codon, and T loops). Lineage: Eukaryota; Metazoa; Chordata; Mammalia; Artiodactyla; Camelidae. RNAcentral also lists the same sequence under 3 other names. The record is from Rfam by way of RNAcentral.